AACUUGUGGCUAUUGAGCUCUCACGUGAACAAAUCCUCUUUCCCUCUCUCACGAUGGCGGCGGCCGAAAUUCCCACCGGCGAAGAUCUCCGGCAAAACUCUCACUCUCUUCAAUCUCUCCGGCCUCCGUCUUUCUCUCAUCUUCGCCGUGAACAGAAUAGGACACCAAUAUCACAUCUUGCUCCGGUUCUCACCCUCCUCUCUCAAAUUCCGACGAGAUUUCAACGAACACCAACACACGGAUGAACAAUCGGCGCCUCUUCGAAUUAGAUGAUGAUUGGGAGCAGAAAUCCGUGAAGACCUCAAGAAUCCAAGUAAUUUCGCUCCAUUCUCUUCAUCUCUUCUUCUUGCUCUCUCCGAUUGACGUUUUCAUUGGCGAGCACGUUGUGAUGUUGUUUCUGUGGUGUUGUUGAUUGUUGCGAUGAUGAUGAAUGAACGCGGUGGUUGAAGGUGAUGCAGAGGCGAUUCAAAUGAUGAAUCAGUGAUGAUGAUGUAUGUUCGGUGUUGAUGCGAUGAAGAUGUUGGUGUAGUAACGACGAAGAACAGAUGCGCGAGACUGGAAUAACGAUGAUGAUGAUGAUGCGAGAUUGAAGAAUCUUUCCGUGGUGAAUCGGUGGUGAGAUUGAAGAAGAGUGGAUGAAGGUUCGAUCAAUAGCUCAAGAAAUAGGUUUUGUUGAAGAUUGAAGGAGAGGAUUCUGGAGAGGUGAAUGAAUGAAGAUGAAGAUGAUGGAGAAUUGAAUGAAGAUGAAGAUGAAGAUGAUGGAGAAUUGAAUGAAGAUGAAGAUGAAGAUGGUGGAUCGGUCAGGGAAAGUUUGUUACAGGGAGGAAGAUUGGUUAUGAAUGGAAGAGCCUUGAUGAUGUCGAAGGGAGAAAGAUCCCGUUAGAGAUUGAGAGAGGUUCUGAAUUCAUUUUUCUGUUAUGAGGUUCAUGGUUCUUUUGGAGAGGAAUUUUUGUUGUAUGAAUCGCAGAGAGAGAGAUGAAGUUUGUUAUGGUUCUGUUAUCAAGGUCGGUUCGGUUUUCCAUCCCAAUGAGUUUUGGUUUUGUUUUUCCCUUAUGCAGCAAGUUUUGGUGUGAGAAUUUGUUAGCUGCAAGUGGAUCGGUUUUGGUUGCAUAAUGCAGGGAAUUUCUUUACGGUGCAGAGCUGGAAUUUUGCAUAGAUUGUCUUUCUAUUUUUUUAUGGUAUUUUUGUAAUGGAGAUUUGUAAUGACCUUUGAAUGAUUAUGAAUCUUGCAAGCAAUUUGAAUGAAUUUGAAUCUCGAAA
This is a long non-coding RNA of Vicia villosa (hairy vetch), 1260 nucleotides long. RefSeq lists it as uncharacterized. NCBI's taxonomy places the organism in Eukaryota, Viridiplantae, Streptophyta, Magnoliopsida, Fabales, Fabaceae. The record is from RefSeq and is a predicted model, not a curated record. The transcript has 5 exons.